Panicum virgatum (switchgrass) is the source of this 1292-nucleotide long non-coding RNA. RefSeq lists it as uncharacterized. NCBI's taxonomy places the organism in Eukaryota, Viridiplantae, Streptophyta, Magnoliopsida, Poales, Poaceae. The transcript has 4 exons. The record is from RefSeq and is a predicted model, not a curated record.
AUCCCUACUCCUCUCUCGCAGCGUCCUCCCUCCUGCCCUCUAUGCAUGGCGGCGGCGCAAGGCCCGGCCACAUCGCCGCCCCUUCCUACUCUGCCUCUACGCACGGCGGCGGCGCAAGCCCGGCAGAGGCUGGCCUCUGCGCACGGCAGUGGAGACCCUACGAAGGCGUCGCGCACGCGCCUCCCGCUGGAGCCGAGGCCUCAGUGAGCGCCAGCUGCUCAAGCUGGCCGGACGUGUGGCUGGCCGGACCUGUGCUCGCCUGCCUCCCGAAGCCCCACCUCACGGGCUGGUCUGCGGCGGUGGCGGAUCUCCUCUCUUCAAAUCUGCUCGCAGACGCGGCGCCGGAGUAGCCCCGACUCCCUCCCCCGAUGCAUCCGGUCCCACUGGCAAGAUCCGCCGCCGUCGUCCACCCCGGCCCGCUCGCAGGAGUGGGGGCGCGAGCCCUUCGCAGUAGCGCUGCGCCGCCGGGUGAGGUCAGGCGCCUCGGAGGCCGCGAGUCCAUUGCCAGCGAGCCCUCCUCAUCGUCCCCCCGCCGCGACACCAGAGGCGCUUCGUCAGCCGGCGGUGGUGCCGAGGGAGUGGACUUCUCGGCUUUCACCUUCCGUGCGGCUGCGCCGGUCCACCGGAAGGCCAAGGAGAGCCCCCUCAGCUCCGACGCCAUCUUCAAGCAGAUCAGAUGUGGUAGAUGCUUAGCAUGAUGAGCCCUUGCUUCCUGACCAGAGCGCAUCCUAUGAAGUGGAACUGCUGAGUAGGCUCCUGAUCGCCAUAUCUGUUGGGCCUGAUUGGCCAUUGUUCUGAAGGUGGACAAAGGCUACUUGUGUAUGAGUUCAUGGCAAAUGGGGGGCUCCAGGAGCACCUCUAUCCAAACAGAGGUUCUUGUGGUGGGAUCUCAAAAUUGGACUGGGAUACAAGAACGAGAAUUGCACUUGAAGCAGCAAAAGGUUUGGAAUAUAUUCAUGAGCGUGUUAAUGCACCUGUCAUACACAGAGACUUCAAGAGCAGCAAUAUUCUUCUGGAUAAGGACUUCCAUGCAAGAGUUUCAGACUUUGGUCUAGCCAAACUUGGAUCUGAUAGAGCUGGUGGUCAUGUCAACUCAAGUUUUAGGCACACAAGGCAAUGUUGCGUACCUCAAGUGUUUCUUGAUUACACAUAAUCUAUUGGAUUUGAUUGUCUUUUUCUGUUUACAAAACUUGUACAAAAUUAUGAAGAUGACAUUAUGAGUUUUUUUUUGCUAAUCUUGUGCCAGAAUUAUAAUGCUAAAAUGGGCUUCAUGUGGUGGGCCAGAAUUUUUA